RNAcentral lists this ribosomal RNA (253 nucleotides) under uncultured bacterium. Its description in RNAcentral is "partial 16S ribosomal RNA". It matches the Rfam family "Bacterial small subunit ribosomal RNA", at positions 524 to 776 of the family's 1533-position model. The record is from RNAcentral.
UACGUAGGGGGCAAGCGUUGUCCGGAAUCAUUGGGCGUAAAGAGCGUGUAGGCGGCCUGGUAAGUCCGCUGUGAAAGUCCAGGGCUCAACCCUGGAAUGCCGGUGGAAACUGUCAGGCUUGAGUCCGGAAGAGGCGAGUGGAAUUCCUGGUGUAGCGGUGAAAUGCGCAGAUAUCAGGAGGAACACCAAUGGCGAAGGCAGCUCGCUGGGACGGUACUAACGCUGAGACGCGAAAGCGUGGGGAGCAAACAGG